GACGAACGCUGGCGGCGUGCUUAACACAUGCAAGUCGAACGGAAAGGCCCUGCUUUUGUGGGGUGCUCGAGUGGCGAACGGGUGAGUAACACGUGAGUAACCUGCCCUUGACUUUGGGAUAACUUCAGGAAACUGGGGCUAAUACCGGAUAGGAGCUCCUGCUGCAUGGUGGGGGUUGGAAAGUUUCGGCGGUUGGGGAUGGACUCGCGGCUUAUCAGCUUGUUGGGGGGGUAGUGGCUUACCAAGGCUUUGACGGGUAGCCGGCCUGAGAGGGUGACCGGCCACAUUGGGACUGAGAUACGGACCAGACUCCUACGGGAGGCAGCAGUGGGGAAUAUUGCACAAUGGGCGGAAGCCUGAUGCAGCAACGCCGCGUGCGGGAUACCGGCCUUCGGGUUGUAAACCGCUUUCGCCUGUGACGAAGCGUGAGUGACGGUAAUGGGUAAAGAAGCACCGGCUAACUACGUG
RNAcentral lists this ribosomal RNA (468 nucleotides) under uncultured bacterium. RNAcentral's name for it is "partial 16S ribosomal RNA". It matches the Rfam family "Bacterial small subunit ribosomal RNA", at positions 28 to 507 of the family's 1533-position model. The record is from RNAcentral.